CGGUUAACAACUUAUAUUUUCAAAAUGAAAUUCUCAAGAAUUACAUAUUUGGUUGCGAUGUUUAUUGUGGUAAUUGCUUUGGUUCAUAAUAAUAAUAAAGCAGAUGCUGCAGCUGGCAAUUUUCAAAAAUGCUUCAAAAAUUGCAUAGCCAAUUGCAAUCCAAAGGUUUCACCAUGUGAGAGAGGGUGUCGAUACAAGUGCUCGCUUGGCCCACCA
Molecule: long non-coding RNA, 216 nt
Filed under: Salvia miltiorrhiza (redroot sage)
Lineage: Eukaryota; Viridiplantae; Streptophyta; Magnoliopsida; Lamiales; Lamiaceae
Description: long non-coding RNA (SMIL_LNC010002)
Source: RNAcentral